Molecule: ribosomal RNA, 2262 nt
Filed under: Triticum aestivum (bread wheat)
Lineage: Eukaryota; Viridiplantae; Streptophyta; Magnoliopsida; Poales; Poaceae
Description: partial small subunit ribosomal RNA
Source: RNAcentral
GAGCGGGAGGCUAGAAUAAAGAAGCAGCUCAAGAAUCCUGAACUACCACCAUCUCCAUACGACACGGCAUGGGUUGCUAUGGUGCCCUUGCGGGGUUAUCCGAGGGCUCCACACUUCCCUCAGUGUGUCGAAUGGAUAUUGCAAAACCAACAGGACGAUGGUUCUUGGGGUAUCGGCGAAUUCGACUCAUCAACACACAAGUUUAUUCUCUUAUCCACAUUGGCUUGUGUUAUUGCACUCAAGAAAUGGAAUGUUGGCCCGGAGCACAUAAAGAGAGGACUACAUUUUGUUGGAAGAAAAUUAUCAUUCUCUAUAGAUGAGAAGAUUGCUGCUCCUAUAGGUUUCAAUAUUACUUUUCCUGGUAUGAUUAGCCUAGCCAUUGGAAUGGGCUUGGAAUUUCCUGUUAGGCAAACUAAUAUUGAUGGGAUUCUUAGCAUCCAGCAGAUUGAACUGAAAAGAUUUGCAGGGGAUAAAUCCGAUGGGAGAGAAGCAUACAUGGCUUAUGCUGCUGAAGGGUUAGGAAACCUGGUGGACUGGAAUGAAGUUAUGAAGUUCCAGAGGAAGAACGGAUCAUUGUUCAACUCUCCUUCCACUACUGCUGCUGCAGUAAUCUACUCUUAUGAUGAAAAAGCCCUCGGAUACCUAAACUUUCUCGUUAGCAAAUUUGGUAGCGCAGUACCAACAGUGUUCCCAAGAAAUAUAUCUUGUCAGCUUUCAAUGGUGGAUUCCCUUGAGAAGAUUGGAAUAUCUCAUCAUUUUUCUAGUGAGAUAAAAAGUAUCCUGGACAUGACGCACAGUUUAUGGCUACAGAGAGAUGAAGAAAUCUUGUUGGAUGUAGCAACAUGCGCAAUGGCGUUUCGUAUUUUACGGAUGAAUGGAUAUGAUGUUUCUUCAGAUGAGUUAUCCCAUGUUGCUGAAGCCUCCACUUUCAAUAAUUCACUUCAAGGAUAUCUGGAUGAUACAAAAUCUUUGUUGGAACUAUACAAGGCUUCAAGAGUUAGUGUAUCAAAAAAAGAAUUGAUCCUAGAUAACAUAGGCUACUGGUCAGGCAGCCUAUUAUUGGAGAAGUUGUGUUCGGAUAGGGUUCAUAGAGAGCCAAUGUUUGAGGAGGUGGAGUAUGCCCUUAAUUUUCCCUUUUAUGCCACAAUGGAACGGCUAGACCAUAGGAGGAACAUCGAACAUUUCGAUGUUAUGGGUUCUCAGAUGCUGAAGACAACAACAUACUUGCCAUGUCAUGUCAGCAAAGACCACCUUGCUUUGGCUGUUGAAGAUUUCACCUUUUCUCAGAUUAUUUACCAGGAUGAACUCUUGCAUCUUGAAAGUUGGGUGAAAGAGAACAGGCUGGACCAGCUACAAUUUGCACGGCAGGUGGUGACAUAUUGUUAUCUUUGUCCUUCCGCUACCAUAUUCCCUCCAGGACUAUCUGAUGCUCGGAUUUCUUGGGCCAAAAGUUCUAUACUCGCAACUAUUUCUGAUGACUUCUUCGAUGUUGCGGGAUCAAGAGAAGAGUUAGAAAACCUUGUAGCCUUAGUUGAGAAGUGGGACAAGCACCAAGAACUUCAGUUUUACUCUGAGAGAGUAAAAAUAUUAUUUUGUGCUAUAUAUACUACAGUAAAUCAGCUUGCAGAAAUGGCUUCUGCAGUACAAAACCGUGAUGUUAGCAAACACUUGAUAGAACUGUGGGUAGAUGCAUUGAGGUCUAUGAUGACUGAAGCAGAAUGGAUGUGGAGCCAAUAUUUGCCAACAAUGGAUGAGUACAUGACAAGUGCAAAUGUCUCCUACAUAUUGGGGCCUAUUGUGCUCCCGUCAUUGUACUUCGUUGGGCAAGAGCUUUCGGAGUCAGUUGUCAAAGAUCAAGAGUACAAUGAGUUAUUCAUGUUAAUGAGCACUUGUGGCCGUUUCCUGAAUGACACCCAAGGCUUUGAGAGGGAGGGGAGCCAAGGAAAAGUGAAUAGUGUUUCGCUACUUAUUCUUCAAAGUGGUGGUUCUAUGUCCACAAAAGCGGCUAAAAAGGCAAUAGAGGAAUCUAUAGCCUCGUGUCGAAAAGACUUGCUGAGGUUGGUUCUUAGGGAAGACAGUGUUGUUCCUAGGCCAUGCAAGGAGCUGUUCUGGAAGAUGUGCAAGAUAAAUCACUUGUUCUACUCUCAGAUUGAUGGGUUUAGCUCGCCAACAGCAAUGGUCGGUGCAGCAAAUGCGGUUAUCUAUGAGCCUCUCAAACUCCAAACUAGCAAUCCAUCAUCAGAUGUUAAAGUAGAAGAUUAG